RNAcentral lists this ribosomal RNA (530 nucleotides) under uncultured bacterium. RNAcentral's name for it is "bacterial SSU rRNA". It matches the Rfam family "Bacterial small subunit ribosomal RNA", at positions 777 to 1304 of the family's 1533-position model. The record is from RNAcentral.
AAUAGAUACCCGGGUAGUCCACGCCGUAAACGAUGAGUGCUAAGUGUUAGAGGGUUUCCGCCCUUUAGUGCUGGCAGCUAACGCAUUAAGCACUCCGCCUGGGGAGUACGGCCGCAAGGCUGAAACUCAAAGGAAUUGACGGGGGCCCGCACAAGCGGUGGAGCAUGUGGUUUAAUUCGAAGCGACGCGAAGAACCUUACCAGGUCUUGACAUCCUCUGACAACCCUAGAGAUAGGGCUUUCCCCUUCGGGGGACAGAGUGACAGGUGGUGCAUGGUUGUCGUCAGCUCGUGUCGUGAGAUGUUGGGUUAAGUCCCGCAACGAGCGCAACCCUUGAUCUUAGUUGCCAGCAUUCAGUUGGGCACUCUAAGGUGACUGCCGGUGACAAACCGGAGGAAGGUGGGGAUGACGUCAAAUCAUCAUGCCCCUUAUGACCUGGGCUACACACGUGCUACAAUGGAUGGUACAAAGGGCUGCAAACCUGCGAAGGUAAGCGAAUCCCAUAAAGCCAUUCUCAGUUCGGAUUGCAGG